AGUGAACGCUGGCGGUAGGCCUAACACAUGCAAGUCGAACGGCAGCACAGGAGAGCUUGCUCUCUGGGUGGCGAGUGGCGGACGGGUGAGGAAUACAUCGGAAUCUACUCUGUCGUGGGGGAUAACGUAGGGAAACUUACGCUAAUACCGCAUACGACCUACGGGUGAAAGCAGGGGACCUUCGGGCCUUGCGCGAUUGAAUGAGCCGAUGUCGGAUUAGCUAGUGGGCGGGGUAAAGGCCCACCAAGGCGACGAUCCGUAGCUGGUCUGAGAGGAUGAUCAGCCACACUGAAACUGAGACACGGUCCAGACUCCUACGGGAGGCAGCAGUGGGGAAUAUUGGACAAUGGGCGCAAGCCUGAUCCAGCCAUACCGCGUGGGUGAAGAAGGCCUUCGGGUUGUAAAGCCCUUUUGUUGGGAAAGAAAUCCGGCUGGCUAAUACCCGGUUGGGAUGACGGUACCCAAAGAAUAAGCACCGGCUAACUUCGUGCCAGCCGCCGCGGUAA
Molecule: ribosomal RNA, 506 nt
Filed under: uncultured bacterium
Lineage: Bacteria
Description: partial 16S ribosomal RNA
Rfam family: Bacterial small subunit ribosomal RNA
Source: RNAcentral